UACGUAGGGUGCGAGCGUUGUCCGGAAUUAUUGGGCGUAAAGAGCUCGUAGGCGGCUUGUCGCGUCGGAUGUGAAAGCCCGGGGCUUAACCCCGGGUCUGCAUUCGAUACGGGCAGGCUAGAGUUCGGUAGGGGAGAUCGGAAUUCCUGGUGUAGCGGUGAAAUGCGCAGAUAUCAGGAGGAACACCGGUGGCGAAGGCGGAUCUCUGGGCCGAUACUGACGCUGAGGAGCGAAAGCGUGGGGAGCGAACAGGAUUAGAUACCCUGGUAGUCCACGCCGUAAACGUUGGGAACUAGGUGUGGGCCACAUUCCACGUGGUCCGUGCCGCAGCUAACGCAUUAAGUUCCCCGCCUGGGGAGUACGGCCGCAAGGCUAAA
Molecule: ribosomal RNA, 377 nt
Filed under: uncultured bacterium
Lineage: Bacteria
Description: bacterial SSU rRNA
Rfam family: Bacterial small subunit ribosomal RNA
Source: RNAcentral